AGUGAGUACAGUGGCGAACGGGUGCGUAACACGUUGGUGACCUGCCUUGAGGAGGGGGACAACCGUGGGAAACCACGGCUAAUACCCCGGAUGUCUAAACUGUUAGAGGGUUUAGACUAAAACUUCGGUGCCUCAAGAGGGGCCUGCGGGCUAUCAGCUUGUUGGUGGGGUAAUGGCCUACCAAGGCUAAGACGGCUAGGGGGCGUGAGAGCGCGACCCCCCACAAUGGAACUGAGACACGGUCCAUACUCCUACGGGAGGCAGCAGUGAGGAAUAUCGCGCAAUGGGGGAAACCCUGACGCAGCAACGCCGCGUGAACGAUGAAGGCCUUCGGGUCGUACAGUUCUUUUCUAAGGGAAGAUAGUGACGGUACCUUAGGAAUAAGUCCCGGCUAACUACGUGCCAGCAGCCGCGGUAAAACGUAGGGGGCGAGCGUUAUCCGGAUUUAUUGGGCGUAAAGCGCACGUAGGUGGCGCUGUAAGUUAGACGUGAAAGCUCUCGGCUCA
RNAcentral lists this ribosomal RNA (506 nucleotides) under uncultured organism. Its description in RNAcentral is "bacterial SSU rRNA". It matches the Rfam family "Bacterial small subunit ribosomal RNA", at positions 85 to 611 of the family's 1533-position model. The record is from RNAcentral.